Molecule: ribosomal RNA, 429 nt
Filed under: Acidobacteriota bacterium
Lineage: Bacteria; Pseudomonadati; Acidobacteriota
Description: Acidobacteria bacterium partial 16S ribosomal RNA
Rfam family: Bacterial small subunit ribosomal RNA
Source: RNAcentral
UGGGGAAUUUUGGACAAUGGGGGAAACCCUGAUCCAGCCAUCCCGCGUGUGCGAUGAAGGCCUUCGGGUUGUAAAGCACUUUUGGCAGGAAAGAAACGUCAUGGGUUAAUACCCCGUGAAACUGACGGUACCUGCAGAAUAAGCACCGGCUAACUACGUGCCAGCAGCCGCGGUAAUACGUAGGGUGCAAGCGUUAAUCGGAAUUACUGGGCGUAAAGCGUGCGCAGGCGGUUCGGAAAGAAAGAUGUGAAAUCCCAGAGCUCAACUUUGGAACUGCAUUUUUAACUACCGGGCUAGAGUGUGUCAGAGGGAGGUGGAAUUCCGCGUGUAGCAGUGAAAUGCGUAGAUAUGCGGAGGAACACCGAUGGCGAAGGCAGCCUCCUAGGAUAACACUGACGCUCAUGCACGAAAGCGUGGGGAGCAAACAGG